AGCUCUUUUCUGUGUGUAUUUAUUCACAUGAUGCAAUCAGUUUCCGUGGUCACAGGACAGACCCACCGAAAUCCACGAACAACGCUCAGAGGCGACACGAGGAGGGUUUGCAGCGACAGAGCUCUCGUUCGUUCGUGUCGGCGCCGGCCCGCCGACAACAGCGCCGGCUGAUCGUCAUCGUUCCUGUCACUCAUCAAAAAGACCAACGCCUGCAAAUUCAGUCUGACUGAGAACAGAGACGAAGAUGCUACAACCAUUUCAACAGCUUAAUAAAAUAAAAGUGGCAAUGACAACGACACCUCCCAAGAGGAAAGAAGCUUUUCAACUAUAUUAAAUAUUCACUCUCUGUGAGAAUAGCAAACAAAACACAGACGUGUGUAGCAGUCUGAAAAAUAAUAGACGUUGAGGUAUCUAACUCGACUGCUCAAAAUGAAAUGUUCAUAUUACCUGUAUUUUUUUUUUUUACAUUCAUGUCCAUCUAGGAUGUGUAACACAGUUCCAAUCAGAUCAAAGUGGGUUUUACCCACGUGCCAGAAUUCCCAUGACACAAUAUAGCUCUCAAUAAAUCAUGUGGGGGAGAAAGGCAUAACGAUAAUUACACUUUGUAAUGGUGCAAAACAGUUGCUCAACGGUGAUUAUGAGAGUGCGUGUGCAUGCGUCAUAAUAUCCGGGAUGCACCACGUCCUCUCCAGGCUCUUGGGGAAAGUGUCCAGCGCUCACCACAGGUGCUGAUCGCCAACCAAGGUAAUGAAAAAUGACAUCAAACAUGGGACACACUUAACCGUGAAUGAGUUGUCAUCACGCCGGCUACAAAAAGAAACCAAAAAACACCCAACGGAGGGGCCACAGCGACGUCACGGCGCCCCCCCCCCCCCCUUCCGGCGCC
Long non-coding RNA from Gasterosteus aculeatus aculeatus (three-spined stickleback), 886 nucleotides. RefSeq lists it as uncharacterized. Lineage: Eukaryota; Metazoa; Chordata; Actinopteri; Perciformes; Gasterosteidae. The record is from RefSeq and is a predicted model, not a curated record.